RNAcentral lists this non-coding RNA (29 nucleotides) under Bombyx mori (domestic silkworm). Lineage: Eukaryota; Metazoa; Arthropoda; Insecta; Lepidoptera; Bombycidae. The record is from RNAcentral.
UCGAAUAGCUCGUCGCGACACACCAAGAC